UACAGAGGUCCCAAGCGUUGUCCGGAAUCACUGGGCGUAAAGGGCGCGUAGGCGGCUCAUGAAGGCUGUGGUGAAAGUCCGGGGCUCAACCUCGGAUCGGCCGUGGCGACUCGUGGGCUGGAGCACUGUAGAGGCGGGUGGAAUUCCGGGUGUAGCGGUGGAAUGCGUAGAGAUCCGGAAGAACACCGGUGGCGAAGGCGGUCUGCUGGGCAGUUGCUGACACUGAGGCGCGACAGCGUGGGGAGCAAACAGG
This 253-nucleotide ribosomal RNA is filed under the name uncultured bacterium. RNAcentral's name for it is "partial 16S ribosomal RNA". It matches the Rfam family "Bacterial small subunit ribosomal RNA", at positions 524 to 776 of the family's 1533-position model. The record is from RNAcentral.